UGGAAUAAGAUAAAUUAUCCG
This 21-nucleotide non-coding RNA is filed under the name Caenorhabditis elegans. Lineage: Eukaryota; Metazoa; Nematoda; Chromadorea; Rhabditida; Rhabditidae. The record is from RNAcentral.